RNAcentral lists this ribosomal RNA (447 nucleotides) under uncultured bacterium. RNAcentral describes it as "bacterial SSU rRNA". It matches the Rfam family "Bacterial small subunit ribosomal RNA", at positions 355 to 825 of the family's 1533-position model. The record is from RNAcentral.
UAGGGAAUUUUCCACAAUGGGGGCAACCCUGAUGGAGCAACGCCGCGUGCAGGAUGAAGGCCUUCGGGUCGUAAACUGCUUUUAUGUGCGAAGAAUAUGACGGUAACACAUGAAUAAGGGUCGGCUAACUACGUGCCAGCAGCCGCGGUCAUACGUAGGACCCAAGCGUUAUCCGGAAUUACUGGGCGUAAAGGGUGCGCAGGCGGCCCCGCAUGUCAGGCGUGAAAUCCCCGAGCUCAACUUGGGAAUGGCGCUUGAAACUACGGGGCUGGAGUGUGGCAGAGGGAGGUGGAAUUCCACGUGUAGCGGUGAAAUGCGUAGAGAUGUGGAGGAACACCGAUGGCGAAGGCAGCCUCCUGGGCCAACACUGACGCUCAUGCACGAAAGCGUGGGGAGCAAACAGGAUUAGAUACCCAAGUAGUCCCUGAGCGGGCUGGCAAGGCGCAU